Diprion similis is the source of this 192-nucleotide long non-coding RNA. RefSeq lists it as uncharacterized. NCBI's taxonomy places the organism in Eukaryota, Metazoa, Arthropoda, Insecta, Hymenoptera, Diprionidae. The transcript has 4 exons. The record is from RefSeq and is a predicted model, not a curated record.
UAUUACUCUGUACGUUUAAAUAAGCCCGAAACGCAAAGCGAGAAUUCAAGCCAACGUUCGUCCGCGUCUCGUACAUGAAACUUAAAAUAACAUAAGCGCGUUUGUUGCCGUAUCAUUUCUUCAGAAACGAGCGUGAAGAUCAUAUUUGUUAUCAUUAGUCUUCGGUGUAAUCUUCUUCUUUUUUCCUAUGCG